GUGACCUCUGAAUGGCUCUCCUUCAGCCAAUGAAGUUCGUCUUCCAACCUCUUGGAUUUCUUUGUCAACUAACGAACUUCCUUUUGAAGGUCUCGUAUUAUCGACUUCAAGGGAAUACCCUCCAACAGGGGAAGAGCUUCGGCAGAACACUGUCAUUGGAGGAUAAGAGCGCCACGGCUCAAAUUAAUGCCAAAAGAUUAAAAGAAGGAAAAGGAUACAAAAA
RNAcentral lists this long non-coding RNA (223 nucleotides) under Elaeis guineensis (African oil palm). RNAcentral's name for it is "long non-coding RNA (EGUI_LNC071235)". The record is from RNAcentral. Lineage: Eukaryota; Viridiplantae; Streptophyta; Magnoliopsida; Arecales; Arecaceae.